This 4931-nucleotide long non-coding RNA is filed under the name Triticum aestivum (bread wheat). RNAcentral's name for it is "long non-coding RNA (TAES_LNC024737)". Lineage: Eukaryota; Viridiplantae; Streptophyta; Magnoliopsida; Poales; Poaceae. The record is from RNAcentral.
AUACAAAAACUUUGAAGAGUGGCCUUGUACAGUGUUUUUUCUUUGCGUGGAAAAUGGGAAUUCUAUCAUGAUAAUAUGAUUACAAUCUGGUAGUGGCAGCAGGUCCUUCAUACACGGAGGGCCCCUAUGCAACCAUGCAGCUACUCUGUACGACUGUAAUUAGCCAAUUGAUCUGCUAUCCUAUUUUGACCUCUUCUAAACAAGAUGCUAAACCACACACAGAACGGCAUGCAAAGGCUUCGGAACAGUAGAAGAUGGCACAGACAACGCCUCCACCAUGCAUGUCUGAAUUUAGUCCUCCCAGGAUUGUAGCAUGCCUAUCUCCUUCAGACGCGUCGCUAUAUAGUUUCAGCGUUGCUCCCUUGGGCGCCAUGGUUUUUAUCUAGACCAGAAGAAACCUGCAUGGAAAAUAGGUUGAGUAUCUCUGAUCACAUAAAGAUAUUGUUACAAUCACAACUAGCAUCUUUUUCAGGAUUGACCGCAUCGCCAUGAAUCGCAUGGAUCCGUUCAAGCAGAUUUUUAUUUUCAUAAGCAAAAGUAGGCGGAACAAAAGCCAGCGAGUAGUUUUUCCGAUAAAUUUUGUAUCCAACCCACGCAAUCCCUGCAAAUUUCUGAAACGGCAAACUUAUACUAGUAGAUUGGCAUCGAAUUUUCUGCAAAGACGACAUCAAAACAGAGUUUCUGAAAUGUUCUCAAGAGAAAGAAGGAGUGCAUGCAUGGAUGGAGAACUCAGUCCACAUCACGAUUUCUGAUCAUCAAGGCAUAGUGAGCCAUGUUAGGUUCGGCGAGCGAGCCUUCGUUUGUUUCCAUCAUCGCCCUCCAAACCAAACCAAACCAAAAUUCAUGUAACAACAACACCGCCACCAACAGGAACUUAACACCAGCAAAUUGGCAACUCAAAAGGACGAUGCAUAUGUAGAGGGAUAUCGAUCAGUGCUCCUGCCCGCGGUCAGAUAAAACACAGAAGAGAAGCAUCGAAGGAAAAGAAGAAGAAGAAGAAGAAGAAGAAGAAGAAGAAGAAGAAGAAGAAGAAGAAGAAGAAACUUGGGCGAAAAAUGAUGGUGAAGAAGAAGAAGCGGUACUGGGGAGGCUAUUAGUUGGGUAGUGAGGCUUCGUGGAGAGAGUGUUGUUGCUCUGCUGCUCCUGCUCAGAGCUAGUCUGUGAUUAAGCUGCGAGUGCACGAGGAGAGGCGCAAAUGGAGGUUUUUAUAGGAGAGCCGGCGGCAAAGAGCCAACGAUCAGCGUUCUUGGCGCCCAAGGCGUCGCCGCACGCGGUAGGUAGGUGUUGUGCCGAACGAUGUGAUCGACCAUUUCUUUCUGCUGCUUUCAAGGAGAAACUAUAAAAAAACCUGCCGGAUAACCUUAAUUAAACGGCAUGAUUGCAAAAGCUGAACUUGUUAACUGCUCCAUGCGCUGCGCAUGCAUAGUGUUAAUUUGUCUAAUACGGCCGGUACGGUUUGAAGUUGAAAUGUGACUGAUUGUUUUUCACCGGCUUCCCUGCCUUCUGAAUCAUGUUGUCUAAACACGAGGGCAGUGUUCAAUUCCAAACUGGCCCGCGUGUUGUUUCGCCUUUUGAAUCAUGCCCAGCUUCACCAGCCUGGUUUGGUUUAAGGCUGGUCAUAAUGAGGAGUAACUUACACUGGUGGCAUGCAUAUGCCAGUGGUCUAAAUUAUUAUUUUCAGAGUGCAAAGUAAUAUAAUGUCGUAGAUGGUCUUAUUUAUUAGCUUUUUUUGUAGACUCGUCUUUUCUCGGAAAGCGCUAUGUUACAGUAACAUUAUGUUACUCUAAAUACAUCUCUUCCCAUUAAAUACGUGACACAUAAGCAAUUUUGUUCUGAAAUGCGUUGUGUUGCUAGCUAAGUUACUCCCACUAUGACCAGCCUAAUGAAGACUAGGUAUAGAUCCCCAGUAAUCGGUGGAAGUGCAGUCUUUUAUUUCCUUUUGUUCUUUUUUGGAAAUGAUUCAGAUCUAUUACAAAAGUUCAUUAGCAGCACAAAAGCAUAUCAAGCAUAAUAAAAAUUGCAUCGAAGUCUCUAAACCACCGGACGACCACUAUCGCUGCUAGAAUGAGUCGCCGACGCGCCGCUCUCAUCGCUCCCCUACGGGAGCCGGUUUAACCUUGUCGAUGACAACAGAACAGUCUUCAUGCACGUGCCCCUAGAAACCAACGCCUUAGAGCUGCAGUCAUCACUGAUUCACUGUUGAACCCUUGAAUAGAUUUGAAACAACUGACACUAAAUCUCACCGUCGCAUAUGCACGAGGAGGAAACCCUAACAACGCCGCCCAAAGAGAUGGAAGGAGGCCUACAAGCGGGAGAGCAGCGACAACAUAACCUGUGUUGUUGUGCGCUUCUUUCACGGGCAAGGGAGUAGCGGGCCUGCUUAAAGCAGGUGCAAAGAGUUAGGCCAAUUCCACCGCGCGACCCCAUCCCGUCCGGCCCCGUCCGUUUGGGGUAAAAGGGACAAACGCGACGGCCCAGCGCGCGACGGCCCGGACCCAUCUGGUCCGCUUUGUGUCCGGGCCGACCCAUUUCGAGCGCAAACAUGCGCCGGGUUUGAGUCGCGGCGGACAGCAAACGGACGCGUCGCUCGUCCGCGUCGGGGCCGCGUGGCAGGCGGCCACCUACCUCCCACCCGCCAACAUCAAUGCGCACGCGCGGCCGGCCCCGCCUGUCAUCCGCCCAGGCGAACGGUCGCGGUCCUUAUUAGAUGGGGAAGCUGUGGACCGGUCGUCGUCUACACUCCCCCACUCCACCCCGCGGCCUCCUCGAAACCCGACACACCCAGACCCCCAAACCUAGCCUCUAGCCUCGAACUCGCCGGCCGGCCGCCUCGCAGCCAUGGGCCUAUGGAACUAUGGCCGCAAGGGGAGGCACGACCGCGAGGCUGGCUCCUCGUCGGGACGCCGCCGCGGCUCCGUGAAGAAGGAGGAGCCCGCAUCGCCACCGCGCCAGGCCCCCGCACCUGCCCCCUUCACCAUCGGCCCUAGGGCCGCUGGCGAGCGCGACCGGCAGUACAUCAGCGCUGAUGUAUGACAGCGCUACUGGGAGACGAGGACGCCGGUCCCGUGGAGCGACGUGCACCUCCCCAACAAUUGGCACCUCUCCGCCGACUGGGUCCCGAUCCCGCCGGCCCCGAUGAGCGGCCGUGCGCGCCGCGAUGAGAUCGAGCGCCGCCGCCGCCGCCGCCUCCUCCCCGACGACCUCUACUACGACGAUAGGUACGCCCCCGACUCCGUGCUCUGGGACACUUGGCUCCAGGACGAGCACGACGUGCGGCGCGCCUCCUACUUCGCCGGCACGGCGUCGGGGCCGCAUCGGCCACGUCGGGAGGUGCGGGGGCGUACGCGGGUGCGCGGCCUCACGCCCACGCCGUCGCCUUCCCCGUCUCCGUCGCCACCUCCACCUCCUCGCAUGACAGCGGAGGAGGAGGCCCGGCUCAUGCAACGUGUCAUGGAGGACUCCAUGAACACGCAUGAUGAGCGCCAAUGGCCGGGCCUCGAGGAGAUGAUGGCCCUCUCUGCGGCCGGCGACGUUGCCAUCCCCGAGCUGGAGAUGGUGGCGGCGGAGGAGGUGAUGGAGGAGGCGCCGGUGGCCGCGUUCCACCCAAGCCUGGUGGGCCAGCACUGGAGCUGGUCGUGCACGGCUCCGGAGAUGGCCGAUGCCGUGGGGGGCGUGAACUGGUGCCCCACGCCGCCGCGGUCAUCGGAGCAGGACGCGUCGCCACGUGAGGAGGUGGUGCAGGCCCCUGCCGCCGUCCAGCCCGCCCCCGCGUACCACGGACCGCCGACACACCUGUGGACGCCGCCGUAUUACGUCGACCUCGUCAGCGACGACGACGACACCGGCGGCCACGACAUCGACGGGCACGACAGGAGCGCGCGGGCCGGCAUUUUUUUGUUUUUAUGUUAAUUAUGGAAAUGUGGACGUGAAACUGGACCGUUUUGUGGCCGUCGACCCUAACUUAUAUUUUACGGUUUUUUAUUUGCGUUUAUUUACUUUUUUAGGCAUUUUAUUUAAGUUUUUCUAUUUUUUUAAUCACGUCCAACACGAAUAUGAUUUGGGGUGCGGUCGCGCGUUAGGCGCACCCACAACCCAAUGGACAGAGGCGGACAUGGGCGAACCCAUUGACACCCCAAAGGGACAAAAUCCGGUCAAACCGGACGUCCGUUUGAGGUCGUGUGGUGGAGUUGGCCUUACUCCAACUUCUCAAGUGGCCGUUGUACUGUGAUGACAUACCCGGAUACAUGCCUUAAUUGAUUCUCCGAGGUUUAAACAUAGAGAAACUGGAAGUAGGAUACGUGUACUCUGAUGUGUGAGAACAAAACUUUAGGAACGAGUGUGCCCAAGGCCUUAGAUUUAACAAUAAAUUGCUGGUGAUGAUCGUUUGCCGUAGUUUCGAUGGUGUUGGGUCUGACGUCGACUGUGUUGUAUCUUGUUGUGGAUUGCCAAACCAUGUGUGAGUGUGAUGUAAUAUCCAUAACUCUACCAAGGUAAGUGAUUAUUGUUGUACUGAAAUUGAGCAGUGACAAGUAUAAUUGAGUUGUUGGAUGGAUCUUAAUUUUGAUGUUUCAUUGUGUGUGUGUGUGUGUGUGUGUGUGUUUUUGAAGAGUGGCCUUGUACACUUUUUUUUUUGCAGGGAAAGUGGAAAUUUUGUUCCAUAGUAGCUAGUACUCCGUAGAUUACAAUCUAGUGGCAACAGGUUGGAGGCCCCCUAUGCAACCAUGCAGCUGCUCUGUACGGCUGUAGUUAGCCAAUUGAUCUUCUAUCCUGUUUUGAUCUCUUCUAUAAACAACAUGCUAAACCACACACAGAAUGGCAUGUUCAGGCUUCAGACUAGUAGAAUUACCUCCCAGGAUUGUAGCAUGCCUAUCUCCUUCAGACGUGUCGCUAUAUAGUUUCAGCGUUGCUCCCUUGGGCGUCAUGGUUUUCUC